Molecule: ribosomal RNA, 2902 nt
Filed under: Escherichia coli
Lineage: Bacteria; Pseudomonadati; Pseudomonadota; Gammaproteobacteria; Enterobacterales; Enterobacteriaceae
Description: bacterial LSU rRNA
Rfam family: Bacterial large subunit ribosomal RNA
Source: RNAcentral
UUAAGCGACUAAGCGUACACGGUGGAUGCCCUGGCAGUCAGAGGCGAUGAAGGACGUGCUAAUCUGCGAUAAGCGUCGGUAAGGUGAUAUGAACCGUUAUAACCGGCGAUUUCCGAAUGGGGAAACCCAGUGUGUUUCGACACACUAUCAUUAACUGAAUCCAUAGGUUAAUGAGGCGAACCGGGGGAACUGAAACAUCUAAGUACCCCGAGGAAAAGAAAUCAACCGAGAUUCCCCCAGUAGCGGCGAGCGAACGGGGAGCAGCCCAGAGCCUGAAUCAGUGUGUGUGUUAGUGGAAGCGUCUGGAAAGGCGCGCGAUACAGGGUGACAGCCCCGUACACAAAAAUGCACAUGCUGUGAGCUCGAUGAGUAGGGCGGGACACGUGGUAUCCUGUCUGAAUAUGGGGGGACCAUCCUCCAAGGCUAAAUACUCCUGACUGACCGAUAGUGAACCAGUACCGUGAGGGAAAGGCGAAAAGAACCCCGGCGAGGGGAGUGAAAAAGAACCUGAAACCGUGUACGUACAAGCAGUGGGAGCACGCUUCGGCGUGUGACUGCGUACCUUUUGUAUAAUGGGUCAGCGACUUAUAUUCUGUAGCAAGGUUAACCGAAUAGGGGAGCCGAAGGGAAACCGAGUCUUAACUGGGCGUUAAGUUGCAGGGUAUAGACCCGAAACCCGGUGAUCUAGCCAUGGGCAGGUUGAAGGUUGGGUAACACUAACUGGAGGACCGAACCGACUAAUGUUGAAAAAUUAGCGGAUGACUUGUGGCUGGGGGUGAAAGGCCAAUCAAACCGGGAGAUAGCUGGUUCUCCCCGAAAGCUAUUUAGGUAGCGCCUCGUGAAUUCAUCUCCGGGGGUAGAGCACUGUUUCGGCAAGGGGGUCAUCCCGACUUACCAACCCGAUGCAAACUGCGAAUACCGGAGAAUGUUAUCACGGGAGACACACGGCGGGUGCUAACGUCCGUCGUGAAGAGGGAAACAACCCAGACCGCCAGCUAAGGUCCCAAAGUCAUGGUUAAGUGGGAAACGAUGUGGGAAGGCCCAGACAGCCAGGAUGUUGGCUUAGAAGCAGCCAUCAUUUAAAGAAAGCGUAAUAGCUCACUGGUCGAGUCGGCCUGCGCGGAAGAUGUAACGGGGCUAAACCAUGCACCGAAGCUGCGGCAGCGACGCUGAUGCGUUGUUGGGUAGGGGAGCGUUCUGUAAGCCUGCGAAGGUGUGCUGUGAGGCAUGCUGGAGGUAUCAGAAGUGCGAAUGCUGACAUAAGUAACGAUAAAGCGGGUGAAAAGCCCGCUCGCCGGAAGACCAAGGGUUCCUGUCCAACGUUAAUCGGGGCAGGGUGAGUCGACCCCUAAGGCGAGGCCGAAAGGCGUAGUCGAUGGGAAACAGGUUAAUAUUCCUGUACUUGGUGUUACUGCGAAGGGGGGACGGAGAAGGCUAUGUUGGCCGGGCGACGGUUGUCCCGGUUUAAGCGUGUAGGCUGGUUUUCCAGGCAAAUCCGGAAAAUCAAGGCUGAGGCGUGAUGACGAGGCACUACGGUGCUGAAGCAACAAAUGCCCUGCUUCCAGGAAAAGCCUCUAAGCAUCAGGUAACAUCAAAUCGUACCCCAAACCGACACAGGUGGUCAGGUAGAGAAUACCAAGGCGCUUGAGAGAACUCGGGUGAAGGAACUAGGCAAAAUGGUGCCGUAACUUCGGGAGAAGGCACGCUGAUAUGUAGGUGAAGUCCCUUGCGGAUGGAGCUGAAAUCAGUCGAAGAUACCAGCUGGCUGCAACUGUUUAUUAAAAACACAGCACUGUGCAAACACGAAAGUGGACGUAUACGGUGUGACGCCUGCCCGGUGCCGGAAGGUUAAUUGAUGGGGUCAGCGCAAGCGAAGCUCUUGAUCGAAGCCCCGGUAAACGGCGGCCGUAACUAUAACGGUCCUAAGGUAGCGAAAUUCCUUGUCGGGUAAGUUCCGACCUGCACGAAUGGCGUAAUGAUGGCCAGGCUGUCUCCACCCGAGACUCAGUGAAAUUGAACUCGCUGUGAAGAUGCAGUGUACCCGCGGCAAGACGGAAAGACCCCGUGAACCUUUACUAUAGCUUGACACUGAACAUUGAGCCUUGAUGUGUAGGAUAGGUGGGAGGCUUAGAAGUGUGGACGCCAGUCUGCAUGGAGCCGACCUUGAAAUACCACCCUUUAAUGUUUGAUGUUCUAACGUUGACCCGUAAUCCGGGUUGCGGACAGUGUCUGGUGGGUAGUUUGACUGGGGCGGUCUCCUCCUAAAGAGUAACGGAGGAGCACGAAGGUUGGCUAAUCCUGGUCGGACAUCAGGAGGUUAGUGCAAUGGCAUAAGCCAGCUUGACUGCGAGCGUGACGGCGCGAGCAGGUGCGAAAGCAGGUCAUAGUGAUCCGGUGGUUCUGAAUGGAAGGGCCAUCGCUCAACGGAUAAAAGGUACUCCGGGGAUAACAGGCUGAUACCGCCCAAGAGUUCAUAUCGACGGCGGUGUUUGGCACCUCGAUGUCGGCUCAUCACAUCCUGGGGCUGAAGUAGGUCCCAAGGGUAUGGCUGUUCGCCAUUUAAAGUGGUACGCGAGCUGGGUUUAGAACGUCGUGAGACAGUUCGGUCCCUAUCUGCCGUGGGCGCUGGAGAACUGAGGGGGGCUGCUCCUAGUACGAGAGGACCGGAGUGGACGCAUCACUGGUGUUCGGGUUGUCAUGCCAAUGGCACUGCCCGGUAGCUAAAUGCGGAAGAGAUAAGUGCUGAAAGCAUCUAAGCACGAAACUUGCCCCGAGAUGAGUUCUCCCUGACUCCUUGAGAGUCCUGAAGGAACGUUGAAGACGACGACGUUGAUAGGCCGGGUGUGUAAGCGCAGCGAUGCGUUGAGCUAACCGGUACUAAUGAACCGUGAGGCUUAACCUU